RNAcentral lists this ribosomal RNA (497 nucleotides) under uncultured bacterium. RNAcentral describes it as "partial 16S ribosomal RNA". It matches the Rfam family "Bacterial small subunit ribosomal RNA", at positions 28 to 507 of the family's 1533-position model. The record is from RNAcentral.
GAUGAACGCUGGCGGCGUGCCUAAUACAUGCAAGUCGAGCGAACGGACGAGAAGCUUGCUUCUCUUAUGUUAGCGGCGGACGGGUGAGUAACACGUGGAUAACCUACCUAUAAGACUGGGAUAACUUCGGGAAACCGUAGCUAAUACCGGAUAAUAUUUUGAACCGCAUGGUUCAAAAGUGAAAGACGGUCUUGCUGUCACUUAUAGAUGGAUCCGCGCUGCAUUAGCUAGUUGGUAAGGUAACGGCUUACCAAGGCAACGAUGCAUAGCCGACCUGAGAGGGUGAUCGGCCACACUGGAACUGAGACACGGUCCAGACUCCUACGGGAGGCAGCAGUAGGGAAUCUUCCGCAAUGGGCGAAAGCCUGACGGAGCAACGCCGCGUGAGUGAUGAAGGUCUUCGGAUCGUAAAACUCUGUUAUUAGGGAAGAACAUAUGUGUAAGUAACUGUGCACAUCUUGACGGUACCUAAUCAGAAAGCCACGGCUAACUACGUG